RNAcentral lists this ribosomal RNA (658 nucleotides) under bacterium xpnta675lb555on10.8. Its description in RNAcentral is "bacterial SSU rRNA". It matches the Rfam family "Bacterial small subunit ribosomal RNA", at positions 51 to 692 of the family's 1533-position model. The record is from RNAcentral.
AUACAUGCAGUCGAGCGGACAGAUGGGAGCUUGCUCCCUGAUGUUAGCGGCGGACGGGUGAGUAACACGUGGGUAACCUGCCUGUAAGACUGGGAUAACUCCGGGAAACCGGGGCUAAUACCGGAUGGUUGUUUGAACCGCAUGGUUCAAACAUAAAAGGUGGCUUCGGCUACCACUUACAGAUGGACCCGCGGCGCAUUAGCUAGUUGGUGAGGUAACGGCUCACCAAGGCGACGAUGCGUAGCCGACCUGAGAGGGUGAUCGGCCACACUGGGACUGAGACACGGCCCAGACUCCUACGGGAGGCAGCAGUAGGGAAUCUUCCGCAAUGGACGAAAGUCUGACGGAGCAACGCCGCGUGAGUGAUGAAGGUUUUCGGAUCGUAAAGCUCUGUUGUUAGGGAAGAACAAGUACCGUUCGAAUAGGGCGGUACCUUGACGGUACCUAACCAGAAAGCCACGGCUAACUACGUGCCAGCAGCCGCGGUAAUACGUAGGUGGCAAGCGUUGUCCGGAAUUAUUGGGCGUAAAGGGCUCGCAGGCGGUUUCUUAAGUCUGAUGUGAAAGCCCCCGGCUCAACCGGGGAGGGUCAUUGGAAACUGGGGAACUUGAGUGCAGAAGAGGAGAGUGGAAUUCCACGUGUAGCGGUGAAAUGCGUA